UACGGAGGGUGCGAGCGUUGUCCAGAAUCACUGGGCGUAAAGGGCGCGUAGGCGGCCUGAUAAGUAGGGGGUGAAAUCCUGCGGCUUAACCGCAGGGCUGCCUUCUAAACUGUCAGGCUGGAGCACAGUAGAGGCAGGUGGAAUUCCCGGUGUAGCGGUGGAAUGCGUAGAUAUCAGGAGGAACACCGGCGGUGUAGACGGCUCUCUGGACCGUAACUGACGCUGAGAUACGAAAGCGUGGGUAGCAAACAGG
Molecule: ribosomal RNA, 253 nt
Filed under: uncultured bacterium
Lineage: Bacteria
Description: partial 16S ribosomal RNA
Rfam family: Bacterial small subunit ribosomal RNA
Source: RNAcentral